AGACAAACUGGCAGGGGAGAAGGUGGUUCACCCAGGGUGAGGCUCUGCCAUUGCACUUCGGUGGUGCUGACCCUUGCAAAUUCCCCAAAUGCGAGAAUCUCGACUGCAUAAUUUCUGGUAGUGGGGGACUGCAUUUGCGGUCUCCAU
Pygocentrus nattereri (red-bellied piranha) is the source of this 147-nucleotide small nuclear RNA. Its record names the gene U1. It matches the Rfam family "U1 spliceosomal RNA". Rfam says of the family: U1 is a small nuclear RNA (snRNA) component of the spliceosome (involved in pre-mRNA splicing). Its 5' end forms complementary base pairs with the 5' splice junction, thus defining the 5' donor site of an intron. Lineage: Eukaryota; Metazoa; Chordata; Actinopteri; Characiformes; Serrasalmidae. The record is from Ensembl.